UGGGGGAUUUUGGCACGUGAGUGGAGGAUAAUUAGGUUUUAGCAAUGAUGAAAUGGGAGCGAUUUGUGUACGUGUGGGUGGGAUUCAUGUGACGUCACCAGAAAGAGGAAGAAGGUUGGGAUGUCAAUUUGUCGAUGAGAUUUUGAGUUGAAAAAGAAAAGCAAAGUCUUUCGUUUCCCUCUCUCAAUUGAGUGUUUGAGUAAUGAGUAGUAAUUUCGAGUCUUAAGGUUUGAGAGCUA
This 239-nucleotide long non-coding RNA is filed under the name Vigna radiata. RNAcentral's name for it is "long non-coding RNA (VRAD_LNC006982)". Lineage: Eukaryota; Viridiplantae; Streptophyta; Magnoliopsida; Fabales; Fabaceae. The record is from RNAcentral.